RNAcentral lists this ribosomal RNA (247 nucleotides) under Entolomataceae sp. 2 CRJH-2017. RNAcentral describes it as "partial 28S ribosomal RNA". It matches the Rfam family "Eukaryotic large subunit ribosomal RNA", at positions 104 to 344 of the family's 3401-position model. Lineage: Eukaryota; Fungi; Basidiomycota; Agaricomycetes; Agaricales; Entolomataceae. The record is from RNAcentral.
AAAGCUCAAAUUUAAAAUCUGGUGGUCUUUGACUAUCCGAAUUGUAAUCUAGAGAAGUGUCAUCCGCGCUGGACCGUGUAUAAGUCUCCUGGAAUGGAGCGUCAUAGAGGGUGAGAAUCCCGUCUUUGACACGGACUCCCAGGGCUUUGUGAUGCGCUCUCAAAGAGUCGAGUUGUUUGGGAAUGCAGCUCUAAAUGGGUGGUAAAUUCCAUCUAAAGCUAAAUAUUGGCGAGAGACCGAUAGCGAA